This is a long non-coding RNA of Anguilla anguilla (European eel), 778 nucleotides long. RefSeq lists it as uncharacterized. The record is from RefSeq and is a predicted model, not a curated record. The transcript is spliced from 3 exons. NCBI's taxonomy places the organism in Eukaryota, Metazoa, Chordata, Actinopteri, Anguilliformes, Anguillidae.
AUCAGUGCACCCAGAACUGAGAGACCUGUUGGCAUUGCAGUGGACCUCUACAGAGACUGGACUGCCUUUUUCUGGACUGUUAUUGUCUCCGUGUCAUUGCGUGACUUCCUGGUCGAUUUCACUGAUCAGCGGGCAGUGUAUUAUCGAUCGUUCGAAUUUCUCUUGAACUUACAGGACCGGGGACGUGCAUUAAGCGUGAUCGAUCAGUUCCCAGAUGAACUUAGUGUGUUCCAACUGUGGCGGCAGCACCGAGUGGGCUGGUUUACAGAAUCCAUCAUGGUGGCGCCCUGUUUCUGAACGCCGACAGGACUAAGUUCCCAAAACUUAAGUCACCGCUCUCUUCUAUAGCUUACCACUGUCUGAGCAAGAUGGAACAAUUCUUAGGCAAUCGGCCCCGCGAUGGCGAAAUGCUUGACGAAAAGGAAAGGAUGAGAUAUUAAUCUACGGACAACGAUGUCCUGCGCGGUUCAUGUGGGGUUGGACGCUAAUAUCCUGGCAUUGACAAGUACCAAACUUUACGUGUUGGAUGUUGUUCGGAUGGACAUACGGACAUUAAUUCAUGACUGCUUGAAGUCUGUGACCCAAAGACAUCACCAAGUGCUGAGUGUCCUUUCUGGUGAUGCUCAGCCAGGGCUGUACAGCAGCCAUCUUCGGCUCCUGCUAGUUUUGGAAGCGGGCUGAGCUGUGGAGUAUGGGGCUGUACUGUACACUGUCCUGUGCAGCAGUCUCAGAGAGAGAGACGAAGACUGAGGAGGUAACAGAACCUUCUGGAAAUAAU